RNAcentral lists this ribosomal RNA (301 nucleotides) under uncultured bacterium. RNAcentral's name for it is "partial 16S ribosomal RNA". It matches the Rfam family "Bacterial small subunit ribosomal RNA", at positions 509 to 808 of the family's 1533-position model. The record is from RNAcentral.
CAGCCGCCGCGGUAAAACGUAGGUGGCACGCGUUGUCCGGAAUUAUUGGGCGUAAAGGGCUCGCAGGCGGUUUGAUAAGUCUGAAGUUAAAGGCUGUGGCUCAACCAUAGUUCGCUUUGGAAACUGCCAAACUUGAGUGCAGAAGGGGAGAGUGGAAUUCCACGUGUAGCGGUGAAACGCGUAGAGAUGUGGAGGAACACCAGUGGCGAAGGCGACUCUCUGGUCUGUAACUGACGCUGAGGAGCGAAAGCGUGGGGAGCGAACAGGAUUAGAUACCCGAGUAGUCCCUGUCUCUUAUACA